GACGAACGCUGGCGGCGUGCUUAACACAUGCAAGUCGAACGGAAAGGCCCUGCUUUUGUGGGUUUCUCGAUUGGCGAACGGGUGAGUAACACGUGUGUAACCUGCCCUUGACUUUGGGAUAACUUCAGGAAACUGGGGCUCAUACCGCAUAGGAUCUCCUGCUGCAUGGUGGUCGUUGGAAAGUUUCGGCGGUUGUGGAUGGACUCGCUGCUUAUCCGCUUGUUGGUGUGGUAGUUGCUUACCAAGGCUUUGACGGGUAGCCGGCAUGGGAGGGUGAACGGCGACAAGGGGACUGAGAGACGGCGCAGAAGCCAACGGGAGGCAGCAGUGGGGAAUAUUGCAGAAUGGGGGGAAGCCUGAUACAGCAACGCCGGGUGCGGGAUGACGGCCUUCGGGUGGUAAACAGAUUUCGAAUGUGACGAAGAGUGAGUGACGGUAAUGGGUAAAGAAGCACCGGCUAACUACGUG
This 468-nucleotide ribosomal RNA is filed under the name uncultured bacterium. RNAcentral's name for it is "partial 16S ribosomal RNA". It matches the Rfam family "Bacterial small subunit ribosomal RNA", at positions 28 to 507 of the family's 1533-position model. The record is from RNAcentral.